CGCUGGCGGCGUGCCUAACACAUGCAAGUCGUGCGAGAAAGUUCCUCGGGAGCGAGUAAAGCGGCGCACGGGUGAGUAACACGUAGGUAACCUGCCCCCCAGUCUGGAACAACUAGAGGAAACUCUAGCUAAUGCCGGAUGAGACCACGAUCCCUUCGGGGGUUGCGGCCAAAGAUGGCCUCUACUUGUAAACUAUCGCUGAGGGAUGGGCCUGCGGGCCAUUAGCUUGUUGGUGAGGUAACGGCUCACCAAGGCUGUGAUGGCUAGCUGGUCUGAGAGGAUGACCAGCCACACUGGGACUGAGACACGGCCCAGACUCCUACGGGAGGCAGCAGUGGGGAAUAUUGCGCAAUGGGCGAAAGCCUGACGCAGCGACGCCGCGUGGGUGAUGAAGGCCUUCGGGUCGUAAAGCCCUGUCGCAGGGGAAGAAUAAGCAUCGGUAUAAUACGCCGGUGCCCUGACGGUACCCUGCAAGAAAGCACCGGCUAACUCCGUG
Molecule: ribosomal RNA, 496 nt
Filed under: uncultured bacterium
Lineage: Bacteria
Description: bacterial SSU rRNA
Rfam family: Bacterial small subunit ribosomal RNA
Source: RNAcentral